RNAcentral lists this ribosomal RNA (250 nucleotides) under uncultured prokaryote. RNAcentral's name for it is "partial 16S ribosomal RNA". It matches the Rfam family "Bacterial small subunit ribosomal RNA", at positions 524 to 773 of the family's 1533-position model. The record is from RNAcentral.
UACGUAGGUGGCAAGCGUUGUCCGGAAUGACUGGGCGUAAAGGGUGCGUAGGCGGCGAUGCAAGUUAGUGGUGAAAUUCCGGGGCUUAACUCCGGCGCUACCACUAAGACUGUAUUGCUUGAGUGCGAGAGAGGUAAGCGGAAUUCCUAGUGUAGCGGUGGAAUGCGUAGAUAUUAGGAAGAACACCGGUGGCGAAAGCGGCUUGCUGGCUCGUAACUGACGCUGAGGCACGAAAGCGUGGGGAGCAAAC